AAAUCACAGUCUAAGCGUAACCCACCUGGUCCAUAUAAAGAACCAAGCACGAUGAAGAUUCCGACAUCCGAACAUUUUCUCGGGCGUAUUACAAAUACCUCUAAAUUUGAAAAUGUGAUGGAAGUUAUCAAGAGGAAGUUAACCAAACAACAAUUAAGAUUAUUCAAGAAAGAUGUAUUUGGCCAUUUUGCAAAAAUAGAUGCCUA
This 206-nucleotide long non-coding RNA is filed under the name Citrus sinensis (sweet orange). RNAcentral's name for it is "long non-coding RNA (CSIN_LNC004474)". Lineage: Eukaryota; Viridiplantae; Streptophyta; Magnoliopsida; Sapindales; Rutaceae. The record is from RNAcentral.